Humulus lupulus (European hop) is the source of this 339-nucleotide long non-coding RNA. RefSeq lists it as uncharacterized. The transcript has 4 exons. NCBI's taxonomy places the organism in Eukaryota, Viridiplantae, Streptophyta, Magnoliopsida, Rosales, Cannabaceae. The record is from RefSeq and is a predicted model, not a curated record.
UAAGGGAGCUUUGAGAACCUAGGCCCCAAUACAUACAUGCAGAGGAAGAUUAAAUUAUCAUAUAUAAAGCUCAGGUGUAGUUUUAGAAGUGGAAGAGAGUAGCUUUGGGCCUUAUCACCAGAUUGGAAACAGAGGAAUUGUAGCUGUUGGAGAGAAUUGCAAGUCCCUGACAGAUCUUAGCCUCCGAUUUUGUGAUAGGGUCGGGGACGAGGCACUUGUUGCCAUUGGUAAGUGUAACUCCCUACAGUAUCUAAACGUUAGUGGUUGUCAUCAAAUUGGUGAUGCUGGAAUAAUGGCCAUUGCAAGAGGUUGUCCUCAACUUACCUACCUAGACAUGAG